This 495-nucleotide long non-coding RNA is filed under the name Heterocephalus glaber (naked mole-rat). Its description in RNAcentral is "lncRNA (ENSHGLG00000041359.1)". The record is from RNAcentral. Lineage: Eukaryota; Metazoa; Chordata; Mammalia; Rodentia; Bathyergidae.
CUUCUUUGCUUCCUGUCUGGUCCUGCUGUUUCCUUUGCUCAGGCUCCUGGGUCGGCUACGGAGUGGCCCUGGGGCCCUCGCUUUGAAUCUCCCAAACCGGAUCAAACUCAGGACCUUGUGCUUGCAAGGCAGGCACUGGAACCACUGAGCUAAAUCCCCGGCUCUGAUGACUACAAUGUCUUGCCCAAGGCAGUGUCCCCCACGAGUCCGGCCAGAGGCCCAGAGCCCACGGCAGGGUCCCAUGCAAGUCCACAUUGAGCAUCUGCACCGGGAAGGCCCGAAGGCCACUGGUGGAAGCCAGAAAUCCUGUGGCACCAGCCUGAGGGGGCUCAAGGCGAAGAGCAGAGCUCCCCCGACAAGAACAGCAGCCAUCCCCGGCGACAGGGGGGACUCGAGCUCCUCCUCUGACAAUGAGAACAGCGGAGUUCGCACCAGGAAAACCAGCCGCGGCAAAGCCUCCCAGGAGCAUCAACAGCAUUCGAUCUUCACCUCCGG